Molecule: ribosomal RNA, 445 nt
Filed under: Arachnia propionica
Lineage: Bacteria; Bacillati; Actinomycetota; Actinomycetes; Propionibacteriales; Propionibacteriaceae
Description: bacterial SSU rRNA
Rfam family: Bacterial small subunit ribosomal RNA
Source: RNAcentral
GACGAACGCUGGCGGUGUGCUUAACACAUGCAAGUCGAACGGUAAGGCCCUUUCGGGGGUACACGAGUGGCGAACGGGUGAGUAACACGUGAGUAACCUGCCCUCAUCUCUGGGAUAACAGUCGGAAACGGUUGCUAAUACUGGAUAUGAGCUUGCAAGGCAUCUUGUGGGUUGGAAAGAUUUUUUGGUUGGGGAUGGACUCGCGGCCUAUCAGCUUGUUGGUGAGGUAGUGGCUCACCAAGGCUUCGACGGGUAGCCGGCCUGAGAGGGCGACCGGCCACAUUGGGACUGAGAUACGGCCCAGACUCCUACGGGAGGCAGCAGUGGGGAAUAUUGCACAAUGGACGGAAGUCUGAUGCAGCAACGCCGCGUGCGGGAUGACGGCCUUCGGGUUGUAAACCGCUUUCAAUUGUGACGAAGCUUUUUGUGACGGUAGCAGUAGAAG